AGGAGUGUAGCUCAACUGGUAGAGCGCCGGUCUCCAAAACCGGAGGUUGGGGGUUCGAUGCCUCUCGCUCCUG
RNAcentral lists this transfer RNA (73 nucleotides) under Candidatus Arcanibacter lacustris. RNAcentral describes it as "Candidatus Arcanobacter lacustris tRNA". It matches the Rfam family "tRNA". From Rfam's summary of the family: Transfer RNA (tRNA) molecules are approximately 80 nucleotides in length. Their secondary structure includes four short double-helical elements and three loops (D, anti-codon, and T loops). The record is from Rfam by way of RNAcentral. Lineage: Bacteria; Pseudomonadati; Pseudomonadota; Alphaproteobacteria; Rickettsiales; Candidatus Arcanibacteraceae.